RNAcentral lists this ribosomal RNA (433 nucleotides) under uncultured bacterium. RNAcentral describes it as "partial 16S ribosomal RNA". It matches the Rfam family "Bacterial small subunit ribosomal RNA", at positions 29 to 507 of the family's 1533-position model. The record is from RNAcentral.
AACGAACGCUGGCGGCAUGCCUAACACAUGCAAGUCGAACGAGACCUUCGGGUCUAGUGGCGCACGGGUGCGUAACGCGUGGGAACCUGCCCUUAUGGUCGGCAUAACUCCCCGACAGGGGUGCUAAUACCGGAUAAUGUCUUCUGACCAAAGAUUUAUCGCCUUUGGAUGGGCCCGCGUUGGAUUAGCUAGUUGGUAGGGUAAAAGCCUACCAGGGCGACCAUCCAUAGCUGGGCUGAGAGGCUGAUCAGCCACACUGGGACUGAGAAGCGGCCCAGACUCCUACGGGAGGCAGCAGUGGGGAAUAGUGCACAAUCGGCGGAAGCCUGAUCCAGCAAUGCCGCGUGAGUGAUGAAGGCCGUAGAGUUGUAAAGCUCUUUUACCCGGGAUGAUAAUGACAGUACCGGGAGAAUAAGCUCCGGCUAACUCCGUG